This 2505-nucleotide unclassified non-coding RNA is filed under the name Ixodes scapularis (black-legged tick). RNAcentral describes it as "general transcription factor 3C polypeptide 3, transcript variant X4". The record is from RNAcentral. Lineage: Eukaryota; Metazoa; Arthropoda; Arachnida; Ixodida; Ixodidae.
UUUAGCCAAUCCAAGCUCAUUUGAAAAAGAUGGCGGACAGCGGUAAUGCCGAGCGCGCUGAGGACCCUUUCAAAAGUCUUCUCGGCGAAAUUACCGAAGACCAGUGGGAGACAUAUAAAGCGCUAAAAAAACACCAAGGCAACUUGGUGAUUGACAGCUCGUCGGAGGACUCGAGCGACGAAGGCGAUGACACGGAAGACAAGCGUCUCCACGUGGGCUCUGUUGCAUCCACAGAAACUCCGACUGCAGACAACAGCAGCGACGGAUCCGAGGAUGCGGACGCUUUGCAGUCGCAGUCUACACUUACCGACAAGUACCUCAACGGAGAGAUCAGCUUUGCAGAGUUUACAGAUCGCCUGGAUGACCUCAAAGUUCCGAAAACGGUACCCGGGUCAGAGAUUAGCACGCCGAAAGAGCAGACGGCGUCGGAGGAGAGCGACGAUCCCUUCAAGGAGCUCGCUCCCACCACUAGCAGACGGGGUCGCAGGAAAGGCAAGCGGCCGAUGCAGCGCCCGAGCCGCCUGCCAAAAGACCUGCAGGGGCUGAUGGGUGAAGCAAACCUGUGCUUUGCACGCGGAGACCAUGAGGAUGCCAUCAAGAUGUGCAUGGAAGUCAUUCGCCUUGUGCCCCGUGCCCCGGAGCCCUUCCAGACGCUGGGCAUGCUAUACGAGGAGAUGGGCGACCCGGCCAAAGCCCUGCAAUUCUCCCUGAUCGGGGCCCACCUGAGCCCGGACGACGCGGACGAAUGGGCGCGCCUCGGAGAGCUAAGCCUGGAGCAGGGUGACGUGCGCCAGGCGACGACCUGCUACGCCCGGGCGGUGCGGGCGGACCCCUCGAACCUGGACCUGCGCCUCGAGCUGUGCACCCUCUACGAGCAGGCUGGGGAGCAGAGAAAGGCCCUCGACUGCUGCUCCUCUCUCGUGCAGCAGAUGGGGCCCUCUCAGGGGGCACAGUGCCUGCAGCUGUCCAGAGAGCUUGCCAAGGUUCAUCAUCAGAGGGGCAACGUGGCGGCAGCCAUCAACGUGCUCCAGAGCGCACUCACCAAGUGUCCCUCCGACAUUGCUUCCGAAGACGUGAACAUGUUGUUGGAGCUCCAACUCGGCGAGAAGCUUUACGUCGACGCCUUGAUGGUGCUGCACACCCACUGUGGCGUCCGCCUGCUUCCUUUGGAAGCGGACAAAGAGUUUUCCUCCGCCAUUUCUUUGGAGACGGGAGGUGUGAAACGCUUUGAAAGCUGCGAGGUGCCCAACGUGCUUCCGGUCGACCUGCGAGUCAAGCUCGUGCUCAGCCUCAUUCACCUCGACGGUCAGCAUCUGGUGCUGGGCCUUGUGGAGCAGCUGAGUACCGAAGAUCCUGAAGAGGUGGGGGACCUGAUGCUGGACGUGGCCGAAGCGUUCCUGGAGAAAGCAUCUCCUGGUCGAGCCCUGCCCCUGCUCGCUCAGCUCGUGGAGAGCAAGAACUACAGCCUGGCCGCCGUGUGGCUGCGCUACGCCGAGUGCCUCCAGCAGCUGGGACGCUUCGAGGAGGCGACGUCGGUGUACCGGCGCGUCUGCCGCAUGGCCCCGGGGCACGCCCAGGCACGCCUCGCCCUCUGCUCGCUCCUCCUGAGGCAGGGACGCACCGACGAAGCCAUCGCCUGCCUCGAGCCAGGCUACAACAAUGAAGAUUCUGCCACCGCUAACAGUGAUGUCACCGCAGUGGGCAACACUCCACAAGAGGCGGCUGGGGUGCUUCUGCGUCGUGCACAGCUACUGCUAGAGGCCAAGCGUAAUGAUGCCUUUGUGGAUGCUGCCAUGUUGCUGCUUUGCAGUCACUGUCCUCAAGUGGAGACCGACAAUGAGUAUGCCGCGGUGUACUCCAACUUUUCGUAUCGAGGCCGCAUGGAGGUGUUGCGUGACCUGCUCCAGAAGAGAGGUGUCGUACCUAACAAUUGGCUGACAUCGGAUAGCGGCAUAUGCAUCGACGACCUUUGGACCUGUUUUCUCGACCUUUUCCGUGUGCUGCGCGAAUUGGGCCGCACGAAAGAGCUGCAGCAGGCCGUCACUCAAGCGCUGGUGUCGCCGCUGUUGAACAAGGAAUUAUCCAGAACGAAGGAGAUGGAGUUCUUAAGCCUUGUGGCUCACUACAACGACCCCGACGUGGAAGAGCACACAUACUCCCUGUCAAGGGCGCUGGUGCUUAAAAAUCCAAAGAACAUCCGUGCCUGGAACUUGUUUGGGCUGGCGGUCAAUGUGAGCCCCGUGAUGCGGCACAACCGGUUCUGCCUCCGGCUACUUUACAAAGACGCUCCGUGUGAAUGGCGAGCUGAUGGACACGCAGCACCAUGGGGUGAGCGGUCUUGAAAACUGACGAGCGCAGCGGCCAAUGGGAGCCCUGUCAACGCGCGCCAGCCAAUGGAAUGGAAGGCGAAAUCGCAGAAACUAGUACCCGGACAGCAUACCUCUUGGGCUUCUGAACGGUCACAACGCCCUGGUGUCGGGAACAUACAAGCAUGCCAUCGGUGAG